CCUACGGGAGGCAGCAGUGGGGAAUUUUGGACAAUAGGGGCAACCCUGAUCCAGCCAUUCCGCGUGAGUGAAGAAGGCCUUCGGGUUGUAAAGCUCUUUCGCAAGGGAAGAAAACUUAUGAUCGAAUAAAUCAUGAGGUUGACGGUACCUUGAUAAGAAGCACCGGCUAACUACGUGCCAGCAGCCGCGGUAAU
This 194-nucleotide ribosomal RNA is filed under the name uncultured bacterium. Its description in RNAcentral is "partial 16S ribosomal RNA". It matches the Rfam family "Bacterial small subunit ribosomal RNA", at positions 338 to 524 of the family's 1533-position model. The record is from RNAcentral.